ACUCUAUGUAGCUCACAUGGUUUAUGUCGGUUAUAGGAUUUCCCAGUGUGUGUGUGUUUCCUUGUGUCUAUGGUGAAUGGUGAAGUUAUUUGAAAGUGGAGUUAUGAAAGUUAUUCUUUUGAAAGAUUUAAAUGAUAUUUACAUUAUGAGAAUUGAUAUUCUUGAUGAACUGAAAGUGAUUGACAAAUUAUAUGAUGAC
Molecule: long non-coding RNA, 199 nt
Filed under: Capsicum annuum
Lineage: Eukaryota; Viridiplantae; Streptophyta; Magnoliopsida; Solanales; Solanaceae
Description: long non-coding RNA (CANN_LNC012508)
Source: RNAcentral